Molecule: ribosomal RNA, 468 nt
Filed under: uncultured bacterium
Lineage: Bacteria
Description: partial 16S ribosomal RNA
Rfam family: Bacterial small subunit ribosomal RNA
Source: RNAcentral
GACGAACGCUGGCGGCGUGCUUAACACAUGCAAGUCGAACGGAAAGGCCCUGCUUUUGUGGGGUGCUCGAGUGGCGAACGGGUGAGUAACACGUGAGUAACCUGCCCUUGACUUUGGGAUAACUUCAGGAAACUGGGGCUAAUACCGGAUAGGAGCUCCUGCUGCAUGGUGGGGGUUGGAAAGUUUCGGCGGUUGGGGAUGGACUCGCGGCUUAUCAGCUUGUUGGUGGGGUAGUGGCUUACCAAGGGUUUGACGGGUAGCCGGCCUGAGAGGGUGACCGGCCACAAUGGGACUGAGAUACGGCCCAGACUCCUACGGGAGGCAGAAGUGGGGAAUAUUGCACAAUGGGCGGGAGCCUGAUGCAGCAAUGCCGGGUGCGGGAUGAAGGCCUUCGGGUUGUAAACCGCUUUCGCCUGUGACGAAGCGUGAGUGACGGUAAUGGGUAAAGAAGCACCGGCUAACUACGUG